RNAcentral lists this ribosomal RNA (253 nucleotides) under uncultured bacterium. RNAcentral's name for it is "partial 16S ribosomal RNA". It matches the Rfam family "Bacterial small subunit ribosomal RNA", at positions 524 to 776 of the family's 1533-position model. The record is from RNAcentral.
UACGUAGGUGGCAAGCGUUGUCCGGAAUUAUUGGGCGUAAAGCGCGCGCAGGCGGUCCUUUAAGUCUGAUGUGAAAGCCCACGGCUCAACCGUGGAGGGUCAUUGGAAACUGGGGGACUUGAGUACAGAAGAGAAGAGUGGAAUUCCACGUGUAGCGGUGAAAUGCGUAGAGAUGUGGAGGAACACCAGUGGCGAAGGCGACUCUUUGGUCUGUAACUGACGCUGUGGCGCGAAAGCGUGGGGAGCAAACAGG